Molecule: long non-coding RNA, 417 nt
Filed under: Olea europaea (common olive)
Lineage: Eukaryota; Viridiplantae; Streptophyta; Magnoliopsida; Lamiales; Oleaceae
Description: long non-coding RNA (OEUR_LNC011931)
Source: RNAcentral
AGAUCAAAACAUACAAGAUCGUUGAUCAAACAUCAAAACCUACCUCAACAAUUACCUUCAGAGUUGUAAAUGUUUUAGGAAGAGGCGCUUGGAGUUCCAACACUAAAGAACGGGGUUCGUUCUUGGAGGUCCACAGGAGAUAAACAACAUAAGGAGUUGAGAGCUGGUAUGAGGAGCGCGCAGUACAUGAGGAUCAAGUUGAUUCUAGGAAGAAGUUCAGAGGGGACUAAGGGUUAGUUAGUCUAAAUCAUACAAUCUUAUCGUUUAUAACUGAUUGUUGAAUGGCAAAGUGGCCGGAGUUUUUGAUCUUUUGCAAAAAAAUUUCUUCAUGAUCAUAGUUGUGUUAUUUACUUUAAGCAAUUUACAAAUUGUGGUAUUCACACACGUUGGGACCAAUAAUCUAAACUUUCACUUGGA